This 615-nucleotide ribosomal RNA is filed under the name uncultured bacterium. Its description in RNAcentral is "bacterial SSU rRNA". The stretch from base 1 to 540 matches the Rfam family "Bacterial small subunit ribosomal RNA", at positions 338 to 873 of the family's 1533-position model. The record is from RNAcentral.
CCUACGGGAGGCAGCAGUAAGGAAUAUUGGUCAAUGGAGGCAACUCUGAACCAGCCAUGCCGCGUGCAGGAUGAAGGCCCUAUGGGUCGUAAACUGCUUUUACACAAGAGAAAACCCCCGGUACGUGUACCGGGUUGAUAGUAUUGUGAGAAUAAGCAUCGGCUAACUUCGUGCCAGCAGCCGCGGUAAGACGAAGGAUGCAAGCGUUAUCCGGAUUCAUUGGGUUUAAAGGGUGCGUAGGCGGACUUGUAAGUCAGUGGUGAAAUCUCUUUGCUUAACAAAGAAACUGCCAUUGAUACCGCAGGUCUAGAGUAUAGAUGACGUUGGCGGAAUAUGACAUGUAGUGGUGAAAUACUUAGAUAUGUCAUAGAACACCGAUUGCGAAGGCAGCUAACGAAACUAUAACUGACGCUGAGGCACGAAAGUGCGGGGAUCAAACAGGAUUAGAUACCCUGGUAGUCCGCACCGUAAACGAUGAUUACUCGUUNUUGGCAAUAUGACCGUCAGCGACCAAGCGAAAAGCGAANAAGUAAUACCACCNGGAGGACGCCGGCGACGUAGAACGUAAAGUAAGUAGACGCGNGAGAGAGACGACGACGACGACGAGGGAGGAGG